AUGAGAACAUUGUGCUAGAAUUGUCGCGGGAUUGGCGACCCCGCGAUAGUUGAGCUUCGGGAGCUCAUUCAGGAGAGUUUGUCGUCGGUAGUUUGCAUUGUGGAGACACAAUUGUUAAAGCAGAGAGUGGAGGGCCUAGCGAUGAUGUUAGGUUUUGAGGGAGGUUUUGCAGUGGCUAGUUAUGGACGGAGCGGAGGCUUGGGACUUUUCUGGAGGCAUGGAUUGAAUGUUCGAGUGAAGAAUUUUUCUCGUUACCAUAUUGAUGUGUGGGUUGCAGAACCGGGUAAGGAGGAUUGGAGGUUGACUUGCUUUUAUGGUGAGGCAAACCGUAGUUUGAGGCAAAACACAUGGGAUACUAUGAUCCGUCUGAGAGGUGAGUCCAUGUAG
Molecule: ribosomal RNA, 387 nt
Filed under: Triticum aestivum (bread wheat)
Lineage: Eukaryota; Viridiplantae; Streptophyta; Magnoliopsida; Poales; Poaceae
Description: partial small subunit ribosomal RNA
Source: RNAcentral